Molecule: long non-coding RNA, 859 nt
Organism: Nicotiana attenuata
Lineage: Eukaryota; Viridiplantae; Streptophyta; Magnoliopsida; Solanales; Solanaceae
Exons: 2
Source: RefSeq, a predicted model, not a curated record
GAGAGAACGGCCAUCUCCCCCACCGAACGGGCAUCCGAAGGCCCCUAAUUCCAUUCCAACACCCCUGAACUUCAAAAUCAGACCCACCAGCGAACCUCUCCACCCUUCAAAAUUCGAUCGCCGCUGCACACUACCGUAAAGAACAGAGCCGCUGCUCCCUUCCCUUCUUCUCAAAAAAGAACAAAAAAAACACACACACACACACAGUCAUAAACAGAGGAGCACAGACAGAAGAAGACGGAGGAACAGGAAAAUCAAGAAUGAGUUCAAAAAAAACGCAGCCAUGAAUCUCCAUCUUAUUCUACCAUUUUUCUUCCAUAUAUAAACUCAUAGCAUUAUUUGUCUCUAGAAAAACAGUUUCAAAAUCAGAUUUGGUUUCACUCUUUGAACCUCUGUUUUGAGGUUUCUUGCUCCGUGGUUUUGUUCGAGUGUUCCGGUCAGCAAGUUUGGUCGACAGUCCCUGUCCUUGGUUCAAGUCCCGGCCUAAUUCUGUCAUUAGAUCACCAUUUCAGUCUGCACUUAAUUAUGAAAAUCCAGGUGCCGGGACGAGUCAUCAGUAGUGGAGUUGCUUGUUGAGCUAGGUAUCGAGAGAUGAGGUAGAGCUGCAUUCUCGUCCGCAGUCUUGGCAUCUAUUUUCUUAUGUUCUGUUGUCUUUAUUUCAGACAACAUUAUAUUUGUCUUGUACUUCUGUAGUAGAGCUCGUGAAUUGUAUUUACCAGUUCUGAAAAAUUUACCAUGUAUUGGCUUUACUAUUGCUAUAUUAAGGUUUCAGGCUUAUGUUAUUUUUGUAAAUUCCGCUAUUUUGAUUCUUUAUUGUUAUGUACAGCUUGCCUAGCAAAUAUAUUAGGCGUCAUCACGA